CAGUGUUAGUUGGCAGUGUAUUUGUUGCUGCUGUAACAAUUUAUAAUUCCAUUUUCAGAAUUCAGAAAGUAUAGAAUAGCAACAAAUACACUGCCAACUAACACUGGUCAAUACCGCUAAAAAAUUACAAUAAAAAAAAAAUGGCAAGUUCAGGUUACUGCCAUUCCAUUGGGAUUCUGCGAGCGAGAACAAACACGCCAAUGAAGAAGAUGCACAAAUCAUCAACUUGCCUAAGCUAGCAGUGCAAACACCAUCCAUCAAAAAAAAUAGCUUCUGCACAAGAACAUCCGAAAAGGCCAACCCAAUGCUUGCUACUGAAUGGUCAAAGCCAACCAUGGCAGCAAAAUGAUAAGGAGGCAGCAUAAACCCAGCACAAGACACCAAAACUGAAGUAGGAUGGUUAUCACAAUCUGCAUACACCCAUGCUUCU
Molecule: unclassified non-coding RNA, 430 nt
Filed under: Hevea brasiliensis (rubber tree)
Lineage: Eukaryota; Viridiplantae; Streptophyta; Magnoliopsida; Malpighiales; Euphorbiaceae
Source: RNAcentral